This 253-nucleotide ribosomal RNA is filed under the name uncultured bacterium. RNAcentral's name for it is "partial 16S ribosomal RNA". It matches the Rfam family "Bacterial small subunit ribosomal RNA", at positions 524 to 776 of the family's 1533-position model. The record is from RNAcentral.
UACGAAGGGGGCUAGCGUUGCUCGGAAUGACUGGGCGUAAAGGGCGCGUAGGCGGAUGGCACAGUCAGAUGUGAAAUUCCCGGGCUUAACCUGGGGGCUGCAUUUGAUACGUGUUGUCUUGAGUUCGGAAGAGGGUCGUGGAAUUCCCAGUGUAGAGGUGAAAUUCGUAGAUAUCGGGAGGAACACCAGUGGCGAAGGCGGCGACCUGGACCGAUACUGACGCUGAGACACGAAAGCGUGGGGAGCAAACAGG